RNAcentral lists this non-coding RNA (28 nucleotides) under Mus musculus (house mouse). Lineage: Eukaryota; Metazoa; Chordata; Mammalia; Rodentia; Muridae. The record is from RNAcentral.
UGUGUCCACACCUCCAUCUAGAUGGAUU